Molecule: non-coding RNA, 73 nt
Organism: Ixodes scapularis (black-legged tick)
Lineage: Eukaryota; Metazoa; Arthropoda; Arachnida; Ixodida; Ixodidae
Source: Rfam
CCCUGGUUAGCUCAGUUGGUAGACCGCUCCACUUGUAAUGGAGAGGUCCCGGGUUCGAUACCCGGACCAGGCG